RNAcentral lists this transfer RNA (88 nucleotides) under Alcanivoracaceae bacterium. Its description in RNAcentral is "tRNA-Ser". It matches the Rfam family "tRNA". Rfam says of the family: Transfer RNA (tRNA) molecules are approximately 80 nucleotides in length. The record is from RNAcentral. Lineage: Bacteria; Pseudomonadati; Pseudomonadota; Gammaproteobacteria; Oceanospirillales; Alcanivoracaceae. RNAcentral also lists the same sequence under 3 other names.
GGUGAGGUGUCCGAGUGGUCGAAGGAGCACGCCUGGAAAGUGUGUAUACGGCAACGUAUCGAGGGUUCGAAUCCCUCCCUCACCGCCA